AUUGAACGCUGGCGGCAGGCCUAACACAUGCAAGUCGAACGAGUGGCGGACGGGUGAGUAAUGUCUGGGAAACUGCCUGAUGGAGGGGGAUAACUACUGGAAACGGUAGCUAAUAACGCAUACCAUCGGAUGUGCCCACAUGGGAUUAGCUAGUAGGUGGGGUAAAGGCUCACCUAGGCGACGCUCCCUAGCUGGUCUGAGAGGCUGACCAGCCACAAUGGAACGGAGACACGGUCCAGACUCGUACGGGAGGCAGAAGUGGGGAAUAUUGCACAAUGGGAGCAAGCCGGAUGCAGCCAUGCCGCGUGUGUGAAGAAGGCCUUCGGGUUGGAAAGUACUUUCAGCGAGGAGGCGUUAGCCGCAGAAGAAGCACCGGCUAACGCCGUGCCAGCAGCCGCGGUAAUUC
Molecule: ribosomal RNA, 406 nt
Filed under: uncultured bacterium
Lineage: Bacteria
Description: partial 16S ribosomal RNA
Rfam family: Bacterial small subunit ribosomal RNA
Source: RNAcentral